Molecule: ribosomal RNA, 497 nt
Filed under: uncultured bacterium
Lineage: Bacteria
Description: partial 16S ribosomal RNA
Rfam family: Bacterial small subunit ribosomal RNA
Source: RNAcentral
GAUGAACGCUGGCGGCGUGCCUAAUACAUGCAAGUCGAGCGAACAGACGAGGAGCUUGCUCCUCUGACGUUAGCGGCGGACGGGUGAGUAACAUGUGGAUAACCUACUUAUCAGACUGGGAUAAUCUCGGGAAACCGGAGCAAAUCCCGGAUAAUCUAUUGAACCGCAUGGUUCAAUAGUGAAAGACGGUUUUUCUGGCUCUUAUAGAUGCAUCCGCGCUGCAUUAGCUGGUUGGUAAGGUAAAGGCUUAUCAAGGCGACGAUGCGUAGCCGACGGGAGAGAGUGAUAGGCCGCACUGGAAGUUAGACACGGACAAGACGCCUACGGGACGCAGCAGUAUGGAAUCUGCCGCAGUAGGGGAGAGCAUGACGGAGCAGCGCCGAGUGAGUGAUAAAGAUCUUCGGAGCGUAAAGCCCUGUUAUUGGGUAAAAACAAAUGUGUAAGGAACUGUGCACGUAUUGACGGUACCGAAUAAAAAAGCAACGGCUAACUACGUG